RNAcentral lists this ribosomal RNA (254 nucleotides) under uncultured bacterium. RNAcentral describes it as "partial 16S ribosomal RNA". It matches the Rfam family "Bacterial small subunit ribosomal RNA", at positions 524 to 776 of the family's 1533-position model. The record is from RNAcentral.
UACGUAGGGGGCAAGCGUUGUCCGGAUUUAUUGGGCGUAAAGAGCGUGUAGGCGGUUUGGUAGGUCCGCUGUGAAAACUCCAGGCUCAACCUGGAGACGCCACCCGAUACUGCCAUGGCUAGAGUCCGGUAGGGGACCACGGAAUUCCUGGUGUAGCGGUGAAAUGCGCAGAUAUCAGGAGGAACACCGGUGGCGAAGGCGGUGGUCUGGGCCGGAACUGACGCUGAGGAGCGAAAGCGUGGGGAGCGAACAGG